AUUUAUAUAGUUUAUAAACAAAACCCCUUAUUUUCAGUAAGGAAAAAAGAAUUAUUUCUUUAUAAGUA
RNAcentral lists this transfer RNA (68 nucleotides) under Plautia crossota. RNAcentral describes it as "tRNA-Glu". Lineage: Eukaryota; Metazoa; Arthropoda; Insecta; Hemiptera; Pentatomidae. The record is from RNAcentral.